Pelobates cultripes (western spadefoot toad) is the source of this 768-nucleotide non-coding RNA. The record is from the annotation of a GenBank genome assembly. NCBI's taxonomy places the organism in Eukaryota, Metazoa, Chordata, Amphibia, Anura, Pelobatidae.
ACUGAAGAAGCCGCACCACCGGGAUAGAUGACGCUGAUAGCCCGUUCACUGCAUCUACCACUGCCAUAUUGUCCAAAAAGAAUACCACCUUCUUAUCCCUCAACUGUGGACCCCAUAGUGACAGCGCCACUACCAACGGGAACAAUUCCAGGAACGCUAGGUUGCGUAUCAUCGGGCUGGCCUUCCAGGCCCCUGGCCAAGUACCCGCGCACCAUUGACCCGAAAAGUAAGCCCCAAACCCGACACUCCCUGAUGCGUCCGUAAACAGCUCCAACUCCUGAGAAGACGCCGGCGGCUCCCGAAAGAACACUUUCCCGUUAAAAUCCCGCAAGAAUUCCCCCCAGAUGUCCAACUCAGCCUUCAUGGCCCCUGAUACUCGAAUAAGGUGGUGCGGGAAAACCACCCCCGCCGUUGCCCUGGCUAGGAACCUGUUAAAAACCCAUCCGACCGGGAUCACCCGACAGGCAAAGUUUAGCCGACCGAGCAGAGACUGAAGUGCCCGGUGCGUAACCUUCUUAGCUCCCCGCACCUCCGCCACCGCCAGCCGGAGUGCCAAUAACUUGUCCUGUGGCAGCCUGCACUCCCCCUUAACCGAGUCAAUCUCCAAGCCCAAGAAACUCAGGCAGGUCGUAGGCCCCACCGUUUUGUCACUUGCCAAGUGGACUCCAAUCACGUGCGCCACCCAUUCCAGUGUCCUCAAUCCCCUGCGACAUUCCUCCGAUCCAGGAGGCCCUACACAUAGGAAUUCAUCCAGAUAAUGGACUACCA